AGUGAACGCUGGCGGUAGGCCUAACACAUGCAAGUCGAACGGCAGCACAGGAGAGCUUGCUCUCUGGGUGGCGAGUGGCGGACGGGUGAGGAAUACAUCGGAAUCUGCCCAGUCGUGGGGGAUAACGUAGGGAAACUUACGCUAAUACCGCAUACGACCUUCGGGUGAAAGAGGGGGAUCGCAAGACCUCUCGCGAUUGGAUGAGCCGAUGUCGGAUUAGCUAGUUGGCGGGGUAAUGGCCCACCAAGGCGACGAUCCGUAGCUGGUCUGAGAGGAUGAUCAGCCACACUGGAACUGAGACACGGUCCAGACUCCUACGGGAGGCAGCAGUGGGGAAUAUUGGACAAUGGGCGCAAGCCUGAUCCAGCCAUACCGCAUGGGUGAAGAAGGCCUUCGGGUUGUAAAGCCCUUUUGUUGGGAAAGAAAUCUUUCAGGCUAAUACCCUGGGAGGAUGACGGUACCCAAAGAAUAAGCACCGGCUAACUUCGUG
RNAcentral lists this ribosomal RNA (490 nucleotides) under uncultured bacterium. RNAcentral's name for it is "partial 16S ribosomal RNA". It matches the Rfam family "Bacterial small subunit ribosomal RNA", at positions 29 to 507 of the family's 1533-position model. The record is from RNAcentral.